CUGCCUGAUGGAGGGGGAUAACUACUGGAAACGGUAGCUAAUACCGCAUAACGUCGCAAGACCAAAGAGGGGGACCUUCGGGCCUCUUGCCAUCGGGUGUGCCCAGAUGGGAUUAGCUUGUUGGUGGGGUAACGGCUCACCAAGGCGACGAUCCCUAGCUGGUCUGAGAGGAUGACCAGCCACACUGGAACUGAGACACGGUCCAGACUCCUACGGGAGGCAGCAGUGGGGAAUAUUGCACAAUGGGCGCAAGCCUGAUGCAGCCAUGCCGCGUGUAUGAAGAAGGCCUUCGGGUUGUAAAGUACUUUCAGCGGGGAGGAAGGGAGUAAAGUUAAUACCUUUACUCAUUGACGUUACCCGCAGAAGAAGCACCGGCUAACUCCGUGCCAGCAGCCGCGGUAAUACGGAGGGUGCAAGCGUUAAUCGGAAUUACUGGGCGUAAAGCGCACGCAGGCGGUUUGUUAAGUCAGAUGUGAAAUCCCCGGGCUCAACCUGGGAACUGCAUCUGAUACUGGCAAGCUUGAGUCUCGUAGAGGGGGGUAGAAUUCCAGGUGUAGCGGUGAAAUGCGUAGAGAUCUGGAGGAAUACCGGUGGCGAAGGCGGCCCCCUGGACGAAGACUGACGCUCAGGUGCGAAAGCGUGGAGAGCAAACAGGAUUAGAUACCCUGGUAGUCCACGCCGUAAAC
Molecule: ribosomal RNA, 686 nt
Filed under: uncultured bacterium
Lineage: Bacteria
Description: bacterial SSU rRNA
Rfam family: Bacterial small subunit ribosomal RNA
Source: RNAcentral